RNAcentral lists this long non-coding RNA (673 nucleotides) under Equus caballus (horse). RNAcentral's name for it is "lncRNA (ENSECAG00000046027.1)". Lineage: Eukaryota; Metazoa; Chordata; Mammalia; Perissodactyla; Equidae. The record is from RNAcentral.
UGGUGAUGUUUUCAGUUGACGAUCAUUACGUGGAUUUCCAGCUGGUCACACCCUGUGAUGUGACGCAUAGUUCUUUUUGCACGAGAGAGAACUUCCCCUCGUGAUCCGUAGGUCCACUAAUGAUCUUCUGUGUUCAGUUCUGUCCUACCAAACAUUUUAAUUCUGGUAGGUGAUCUGAUGAGGACCUAGCAGGCCUACGACUCAGAAAUGCAGAUCAUACAAAGCUGAGGAUAACAGUUGCUGAGGCAUGAUGAAAUCAGGACUCAAAACCAUCUGCUCAAGUUGGAAAGCUUGAGAGAGACCAGUAAGCUGACAUUUAGUAGGGGAUAGGCAAAGUCUUGUGUUCAGGUCUAAAAUAUGAAUUGCUUAUUCACCCAGUGAGAAGAAAAACCAACUUGGAAUGUAUACAUGUAAAAGGGGAAAAAAAAUAAGAUCUGAGAGAAUUUGACCACAAGAUGAAUAUUGUCAGCAGUUUGAUAAAGGAAAUUUGAACAUCUGCCUACCUGAUUGCCGACAAGAGAGAAAGGAGGUGUAGGAACUGCUGCAACUGGGUGCCCGGGCCCUCCACAGCCAUGGCCGCCAGCCUGAGGAGGCCCUCCUUCAGCUCCCGCUCUGCCUGCUCGCCGGACACGGACGACCGGGGCGCCUGCGAAGAGGAUUCCAUCUGGGAGAG